This 198-nucleotide ribosomal RNA is filed under the name uncultured bacterium. RNAcentral's name for it is "partial 16S ribosomal RNA". It matches the Rfam family "Bacterial small subunit ribosomal RNA", at positions 328 to 539 of the family's 1533-position model. The record is from RNAcentral.
ACGCUCGACACCUACUGGAGGCAGCAGUGGGGAAUAUUGCACAAUGGGGGAAACCCUGAUGCAGCGACGCCGCGUGGAGGAAGAAGGUCUUCGGAUUGUAAACUCCUGUUGUUGGGGAAAAAGNGGAUGGUACCCAACAAGGAAGUGACGGCUAACUACGUGCCAGCAGCCGCGGUAAUCUGAGCGGGCUGGCAAGGC